Molecule: ribosomal RNA, 491 nt
Filed under: uncultured bacterium
Lineage: Bacteria
Description: bacterial SSU rRNA
Rfam family: Bacterial small subunit ribosomal RNA
Source: RNAcentral
CGGCGUGCCUAACACAUGCAAGUCGUACGAGAAAGUCGGCUUCGGCUGAUGAGUAAAGUGGCGCACGGGUGAGUAACGCGUGGAUAAUCUGCCCUUAAGUGUGGAAUAACGUACCGAAAGGUGCGCUAAUACCGCAUAAUGCCUGGCAACACAAGUUGUCCGGCCAAAGAAGGCCUCUGUUUACAAGCUUUCGCUUCAGGAUGAGUCCGCGUACCAUUAGCUUGUUGGUGGGGUAAUGGCCUACCAAGGCUGCGAUGGUUAGCUGGUCUGAGAGGAUGAUCAGCCACACUGGAACUGAGACACGGUCCAGACUCCUACGGGAGGCAGCAGUGAGGAAUAUUGCGCAAUGGGGGCAACCCUGACGCAGCAACGCCGCGUGAGUGAGGAAGGUUUUCGGACUGUAAAGCUCUGUCGAGCGGGAAGAAGUGUACCAUGGCUAAUAUCCAUGAUAUUUGACGGUACCGCUAGAGGAAGCACCGGCUAACUCCGUG